AGUUUGCUGGACAACAAGGACUCAGCAACAGGCAAGUCACCGUUCCUUCUCAGUAUCUGAAGCUUAGGCACUGUUGGGCAGGAGGCCACAGGAGUGGAACUCGCCUGAAAGUAGCUGGCACUGUGUGCUUUUAUAGCCUCUGGCUCCUGACCUGGGCCAUUGCUGUUGGUCUUUUCCCGCCGCUUAACUGAGAAUGGCUGCCUGCAAAUACCACCUGCUCCUGUGCACUUAGAAACCGCUGCCCCAGCUACCUUCACCUGCCCAGUACCUCCCUUGCCCAAGUAACCUCUGUGGACAGAAGAGUCUGAAGCAGAAGAACGUGGAGUGCUUAAGAAUGCUGGGAUCUGUAAAUUGCUUUGUGAACACUGGAGGCUGCUCACCUAAAGCUCCAUGACAGCGGUUGAUGUUGGUGAUGGGCAGGUUUUGACUCUUCCUCAAUCUAAGAAGAAAGCUCUGAAUAAAGACUUCCUGGUUGAUUUCUUGGAAUCCUGGCAGCUACUGAGGAACAGUUUUCCCAAGGCCAUUUAAGAAUCCAAUCAGUAAUUUUAUCCUUAUUCUGGUUACAUUUCUGUUAUAAACAGUUUAUGCAUUUAUACACACAAAAGUCUAUACAUAAAAGACUCCAUUCCUCAUAAACUAUUUUUGCCUUGUUCAUAAGCCAAGACUGUGUACUGUUAAAGAUCAGAUAGUUCUCCAAAAAGCUUUGAAUUUAAAGGGAAAUAAUUUUUCCAUUAAACCUUUAAAAAAUUCUCAAGCUACAAUUCAACCUUAAGUUGAAAGAAUGGCAAAAUUUUAUUUCACUCAUUUUAUCUUACUUUUCCUCUAUGUAAAAAAAAGUCAAAUAGAAUUUAUCUGGUGCAAUUUUGCUUAUUCUGGUAAGCUUACUUUAGAAGCAUCACUUAUGUUCCUAUUCUCUAUGCUACAUUUCUGAGUUGUUCAUUUACAAUGCAUCUGUGUUCUGACUUCUCACAAUUUCUUUAUGGAGCAUGUUAUUUUAUUUCUAGAUAUAUGAUGAUAUUUAAAUGCUUUAAUCUUUCUAUUUAAGCAGUAACUUUUUUUCUUCCGUGUUCUGUAGAGGAAAUAAGCAGAUUCUCAUAGGUUGGAAUGUUUGUAUGUUAUCUUCAAAGCAUUCAUGGUAAAAAGAAAGUGUUACCAUCACAAUUUUAGCAGCAGAAUGUUUAAAAUAACUAGGUCAACGAGACUACUUGUUAUGAAGCCCACUAAGAGAUAAUCCCAUCCUAAAUUACUCAACAUAUAACUAUAUUCCUAUUAAAAAAAAAGCGAAACUUAACAGAAGGUAAGAUAAAUACCUCUGAAACACGUCAGGUCCUAACAAAUGCCAGUUAGUUUUUAACUUAGACUUUUAAAUUACAAAAGGAA
Long non-coding RNA from Sus scrofa (pig), 1380 nucleotides. RefSeq lists it as uncharacterized. NCBI's taxonomy places the organism in Eukaryota, Metazoa, Chordata, Mammalia, Artiodactyla, Suidae. The record is from RefSeq and is a predicted model, not a curated record.